AAGGUAGCGAAAUUCCUUGUCGGGUAAGUUCCGACCUGCACGAAUGGCGUAACGAUCUCCACACUGUCUCGGCCAGAGACUCGGUGAAAUUGCAGUCGCGGUGAAAAUUCCGUGUACCCGCAGAAAGACGGAAAGACCCUGUGCACCUUUACUAUAGCUUGACAUUGGAUUUUGGGCCUGCAUGUGUAGGAUAGGUGGGAGGCUGUGAACCCUGUACGCCAGUAUGGGGGGAGCCAUCCUUGAAAUACCACCCUUGCAUGUUUAAGAUCCUAACUUCUUCCGGUUAUCCCGGAGAAAGACAGUGUCUGGCGGGUAGUUUGACUGGGGCGGUCGCCUCCUAAAGUGUAACGGAGGCAUGCAAAGGUUCCCUCAGCCUGAUCGGAAACCAGGCGCUGAGUGCAAACGCAUAAGGGAGCUUGACUGUAAGAGAGACAUCUCGAACAGGAACGAAAGUUGGCGUUAGUGAUCCGGUGGUCCCGAAUGGAAGGGCCAUCGCUCAUUGGAUAAAAGGUACGCCGGGGAUAACAGGCUGAUCGCAUCCAAGAGUUCACAUCGACGAUGCGGUUUGGCACCUCGAUGUCGGCUCAUCACAUCCUGGGGCUGAAGCAGGUCCCAAGGGUACGGCUGUUCGCCGUUUAAAGUGGUACGCGAGCUGGGUUUAAAACGUCGUGAGACAGUUUGGUCCCUAUCUUCUGUGGGCGAAGGAGAAUUGAGAGGGCCUGUCCCUAGUACGAGAGGACCGGGAUGGACGCACCCCUGGUGAUCCUGUUGUCGCGCCAGCGGCAUAGCAGGGUAGCUAUGUGCGGAAGGGAUAACCGCUGAAAGCAUCUAAGCGGGAAGCCUGCCUCAAGAUAAGUUCUCCCCUCGAAAGAGCUGAAGGGCCCGGGUAGACUACCCGGUCGAUAGGCUGGAGGUGUAAGCGCGGCGACGUGCUCAGCUGACCAGUACUAAUAGCCCGUGCGGCUUGUUUAU
RNAcentral lists this ribosomal RNA (972 nucleotides) under human gut metagenome. Its description in RNAcentral is "bacterial LSU rRNA". It matches the Rfam family "Bacterial large subunit ribosomal RNA", at positions 1953 to 2925 of the family's 2925-position model. The record is from RNAcentral.